ACACAGUGAGGGUUAUCAGCUG
Molecule: microRNA, 22 nt
Filed under: Oreochromis niloticus (Nile tilapia)
Lineage: Eukaryota; Metazoa; Chordata; Actinopteri; Cichliformes; Cichlidae
Description: oni-miR-10971
Source: miRBase by way of RNAcentral